AGAGUUUGAUCCUGGCUCAGGAUGAACGCUGGCGGCGUGCCUAAUACAUGCAAGUCGAACGCACAGCGAAAGGUGCUUGCACCUUUCAAGUGAGUGGCGAACGGGUGAGUAACACGUGGAUAACCUACCUCAAGGUUGGGGAUAACAUUUGGAAACAGAUGCUAAUACCGAAUAAAACUUCGUAUCGCAUGAUACAAGGUUAAAAGGCGCUACGGCGUCACCUAGAGAUGGAUCCGCGGUGCAUUAGUUAGUUGGUGGGGUAAAGGCCUACCAAGACAAUGAUGCAUAGCCGAGUUGAGAGACUGAUCGGCCACAUUGGGACUGAGACACGGCCCAAACUCCUACGGGAGGCUGCAGUAGGGAAUCUUCCACAAUGGACGAAAGCCUGAUGGAGCAACGCCGCGUGUGUGAUGAAGGCUUUCGGGUCGUAAAGCACUGUUGUAUGGGAAGAACAGCUAGAGUAGGGAAUGACUUUAGUUUGACGGUACCAUACCAGAAAGGGACGGCUAAAUACGUGCCAGCAGCCGCGGUAAUACGUAUGUCCCGAGCGUUAUCCGGAUUUAUUGGGCGUAAAGCGAGCGCAGACGGUUGAUUAAGUCUGAUGUGAAAGCCCGGAGCUCAACUCCGGAAAGGCAUUGGAAACUGGUCAACUUGAGUGCAGUAGAGGUAAGUGGAACUCCAUGUGUAGCGGUGGAAUGCGUAGAUAUAUGGAAGAACACCAGCGGCGAAGGCGGCUUACUGGACUGUAACUGACGUUGAGGCUCGAAAGUGUGGGUAGCAAACAGGAUUAGAUACCCUGGUAGUCCACACCGUAAACGAUG
RNAcentral lists this ribosomal RNA (821 nucleotides) under uncultured bacterium. Its description in RNAcentral is "bacterial SSU rRNA". It matches the Rfam family "Bacterial small subunit ribosomal RNA", at positions 8 to 811 of the family's 1533-position model. The record is from RNAcentral.